GAUGAAGAACGCAGCGAAAUGCGAUAAGUAAUGUGAAUUGCAGAAUUCAGUGAAUCAUCGAAUCUUUGAACGCACAUUGCGCCCCUUGGUAUUCCGAGGGGCAUGCCUGUUCGAGCGUCAUUAUAACCCCUCAAGCUCAGCUUGGUGUUGGGGACUGCUGCACUGGCAGCCCUUAAAAUCAGUGGCGGCGCCAUCUGGCUCUAAGCGUAGUAAUUCUUCUCGCUAUGGAGUCCUGGUGGAUGCUUGCCAUCAACCCCCAAUUUUUCUAUGGUUGACCUCGGAUCAGGUAGGGAUACCCGCUGAACUUAAGCAUAUCAAUAAGCGGAGGA
This 329-nucleotide unclassified non-coding RNA is filed under the name soil metagenome. RNAcentral's name for it is "partial contains 5.8S ribosomal RNA, internal transcribed spacer 2, and large subunit ribosomal RNA". The stretch from base 1 to 120 matches the Rfam family "5.8S ribosomal RNA", at positions 35 to 154 of the family's 154-position model. The record is from RNAcentral.